This 446-nucleotide ribosomal RNA is filed under the name uncultured bacterium. Its description in RNAcentral is "bacterial SSU rRNA". It matches the Rfam family "Bacterial small subunit ribosomal RNA", at positions 217 to 662 of the family's 1533-position model. The record is from RNAcentral.
GGUAUGGGAUGAGCUUGCGUCCGAUUAGCUAGUUGGCGGGGCAACGGCCCACCAAGGCGACGAUCGGUAGCCGGCCUGAGAGGGUGAUCGGCCACAUUGGGACUGAGAUACGGCCCAGACUCCUACGGGGGGCAGCAGUAGGGAAUAUUGCACAAUGGGGGGAACCCUGAUGCAGCAACGCCACGUGUGGGAAGAAGCAUUUCGGUGUGUAAACCACUGUCAUGAGGGAAUAAGGCCCGCCUUCGGACGGGAUUGAAUGUACCUUGAGAGGAAGCACCGGCAAACUUCGUGCCAGCAGCCGCGGUAAUACGAGGGGUGCAAGCGUUGUUCGGAAUUACUGGGCGUAAAGGGAGCGUAGGCGGAGAUUCAAGCGGAUUGUACAAUCCCGGGGCCCAACCCCGGCUCUGCAGUCCGAACUGGAUCUCUUGGAUAGUUCAGGGGCAGGC